ACAAAUUCAACGAGUAAAUUUUUAUUUUAUUAUUUAAAUGGUGUCUACAGAAUUUUAUUAGGGUCGUAUUAAAAUUUCAUUAUGAAAUUUUGGUGUUUGCAAGAUUAAUUAAGUAAAAAGGACUAAAUUGUAAAAAGUGUAAAAAUUAAGUUUUAAUAAUUAAAAUAGUUGAAUGACUAUGGAAAUGGAAGUUAAUGGACUUGAAUAGAAAUUAUAUCAUUCAUAAGGUUAGUGGAUGUGCAUGGC
RNAcentral lists this long non-coding RNA (246 nucleotides) under Gossypium barbadense (sea-island cotton). RNAcentral's name for it is "long non-coding RNA (GBAR_LNC002672)". Lineage: Eukaryota; Viridiplantae; Streptophyta; Magnoliopsida; Malvales; Malvaceae. The record is from RNAcentral.